This 763-nucleotide small RNA is filed under the name Pongo abelii (Sumatran orangutan). RNAcentral describes it as "retained intron". Lineage: Eukaryota; Metazoa; Chordata; Mammalia; Primates; Hominidae. The record is from RNAcentral.
UGCGCUUCCGCCAUCUUUCCAGCCUCAGUCGGACGGGCGCGGAGACGCUUCUGGAAGGAACGCCGCGAUGGCUGCGCAGGGAGAGCCCCAGGUCCAGUUCAAAGUAGGUAACCCUGCGGGGCGGGAGGCGGCCGAACCCGACCGCGUGCGACUCGCGGGUCCCUCCUCCUGGGGCCCACGAUGGCUGUAAUGGGGCUCCGCAUCCACAUUCUUUGUUUUAAGUGAGCCUGUGGUGGUUAAAGUUCCGUGACUCUGGGAUCUUGAGAGGUGAAGUGUUUAGGGUUUACUUCCAAAAUGUGUUUUCCAACAGCUUGUAUUGGUUGGUGAUGGUGGUACUGGAAAAACGACCUUCGUGAAACGUCAUUUGACUGGUGAAUUUGAGAAGAAGUAUGUAGCCACCUUGGGUGUUGAGGUUCAUCCCCUAGUGUUCCACACCAACAGAGGACCUAUUAAGUUCAAUGUAUGGGACACAGCCGGCCAGGAGAAAUUCGGUGGACUGAGAGAUGGCUAUUACAUCCAAGCCCAGUGUGCCAUCAUAAUGUUUGAUGUAACAUCGAGAGUUACUUACAAGAAUGUGCCUAACUGGCAUAGAGAUCUGGUACGAGUGUGUGAAAACAUCCCCAUUGUGUUGUGUGGCAACAAAGUGGAUAUUAAGGACAGGAAAGUGAAGGCAAAAUCCAUUGUCUUCCACCGAAAGAAGAAUCUUCAGUACUACGACAUUUCUGCCAAAAGUAACUACAACUUUGAAAAGCCCUUCCUCUGG